UCCCUGGUGGUCCAGGAGCUAAGACUCUGCACUUACAAUGCAGGGGGUCCAGCUUCAAUCCCUGGCCAGGGAA
Molecule: transfer RNA, 73 nt
Filed under: Bos taurus (domestic cattle)
Lineage: Eukaryota; Metazoa; Chordata; Mammalia; Artiodactyla; Bovidae
Also listed under: 1 other name
Rfam family: tRNA
About the family: Transfer RNA (tRNA) molecules are approximately 80 nucleotides in length. Their secondary structure includes four short double-helical elements and three loops (D, anti-codon, and T loops). Further hydrogen bonds mediate the characteristic L-shaped molecular structure. tRNAs have two regions of fundamental functional importance: the anti-codon, which is responsible for specific mRNA codon recognition, and the 3' end, to which the tRNAs corresponding amino acid is attached (by aminoacyl-tRNA synthetases). tRNAs cope with the degeneracy of the genetic code in two manners: having more than one tRNA (with a specific anti-codon) for a particular amino acid; and 'wobble' base-pairing, i.e. permitting non-standard base-pairing at the 3rd anti-codon position.
Source: Rfam by way of RNAcentral